Molecule: ribosomal RNA, 280 nt
Filed under: uncultured bacterium
Lineage: Bacteria
Description: partial 16S ribosomal RNA
Rfam family: Bacterial small subunit ribosomal RNA
Source: RNAcentral
GAUAAACGCUGGCGGCGUGCCUAACACAUGCAAGUCGAACGCCCUUACGCAAGUAAGGGAGUGGCGGACGGGUGAGGAACACGUGGGUGAUCUGCCUUGAGGUGAGGAAUACCGGCGAGAAAUCGCCGACAAUACCGCAUACGUUCGUAAGAACAAAGUCGCAAGACGCCUUGAGAUGAGCCUGCGUCCGAUUAGCUAGUUGGUGGGUAAAGCCUACCAAGGCAGCGANCGGUAGCUGGUCUGAGAGGACGAUCAGCCACACUGGGAUUGAGAACGGCCC